RNAcentral lists this small RNA (56 nucleotides) under Flavobacterium sp. 102. RNAcentral's name for it is "Flavo-1 RNA". The record is from RNAcentral. Lineage: Bacteria; Pseudomonadati; Bacteroidota; Flavobacteriia; Flavobacteriales; Flavobacteriaceae.
ACUUAGCCCUGAUUGCAGUCUCGUUUUUUUGGACGAGACGGAAAGCAGGAAUAAGG